AACAAGGCGUACCUGCGGACCUGCGGAAGGAUCAUUACUGAGUGCGGGCCCGCUCCGGGCCCAACCUCCCACCCGUGUCUCUUGCGUACUUUGUUGCUUUGGCGGGCCCACUGGGUCACUCCGGUCGCCGGGGAGCGCUAUGCUCCCGGGCCCGUGCCCGCCAGAGCACCCCUGUGAACCCUGAUGAAGAGAGGCUGUCUGAGUCCCACGAUAAUCGUUAAAACUUUUAACAACGGAUCU
This 240-nucleotide unclassified non-coding RNA is filed under the name soil metagenome. RNAcentral's name for it is "partial contains 5.8S ribosomal RNA, internal transcribed spacer 2, and large subunit ribosomal RNA". The record is from RNAcentral.